AUUAGAUCCUGAUGAUGAAAAGAACCUCUCAAAUUUCUUUGAAGAAGUAAAUGCGAUUAAGAUUGACAUGGAAGAGAUGGCCAAUCUCCUCCUUGACCUUCAAGACCUAAAUGAAGAGUCAAAAUCCACUCACAGUAUGAAAUUGCUGAAAGGAAUUAGAGACAGAAUAAACUCAGAUAUGGUCACCAUUCUUCGAAAAGCCAAGGUUAUCAAGUCAAGAUUGGAAUCACUUGACAGGUCUAAUGUGGAUAAUCGUAGUUUGUCAACGGCUUACAAAGAAGGUAGCCCCAUUGAUCGAACUCGUGUUUCAGUGACGAAUGGCUUGAGAGUUAAAUUAAGAAACAUGAUGCAUGAUUUUCAAUCAUUGAGAGACCAGAUUUGUAAAGAUCACAAGGAGGGGCUCAAAAGGAGGUACUAUAAUGUGACUGGUGAGCAACCGAGUGAGGAAAUGUUAGAGAAAAUGGUUUUGGGAGGUGGGCAAGAGAAGGUUUUUGAAGGUAAAACAGAUUUGGUGAUGGAGAAUCAAGAGAGGCAUGAAGCUUUGAAGGAGAUACAGAGAAGCUUGACUGAGUUGCAUCAACUGUUUCUUGAUAUGGCUGUUUUGGUAGAGAAACAAGGUGAUGAUAUUAACAAUAUUGAAGAGAAUGUAGCUUGUGCUGGGACUUACAUCACUGGUGGGACUAAUGGGCUAUACUACGCUAAGCAAAUGAAGAAGAAGAGAAGCAAUUGGGGUUGUUGGAUUGGGUUAAUUUUACUGGUACUAUUGGUAAUUCUUGUUUCCACCCUUGCUUCUUGAAGUAUUUGUAGGACAUUUUGAUAGAUGGUUUUUAUUGUUAAGCUUGCAUGAAUGAGAUUCGUUUUUGUGAUUAUAUACACAAACAAUAGAGAAUUUCUCAUGAAAGAUGGAGUGUUAUUGUGGUUGAUGGAUUCCAUUAGGAUUAAUGUGUUUGAUGAUAUCUCUUCGUCUCCCACUUUUUACAGUUUCUUUGUAAUUCCAUAUUUGGACAACUAAG
Molecule: unclassified non-coding RNA, 1013 nt
Filed under: Hevea brasiliensis (rubber tree)
Lineage: Eukaryota; Viridiplantae; Streptophyta; Magnoliopsida; Malpighiales; Euphorbiaceae
Source: RNAcentral